CAGCCGCCGCGGGAAUACGUAGGGUGCAAGCGUUAAUCGGAAUUACUGGGCGUAAAGGGCGCGUAGGCGGGUUUUUAAGUCAGAGGUGAAAUCCCAAGGCUCAACCUUGGAACUGCCUUUGAUACUGGAAAUCUUGAGUCCGGGAGAGGUGAGUGGAACUGCGAGUGUAGAGGUGAAAUUCGUAGAUAUUCGCAAGAACACCAGUGGCGAAGGCGGCUCACUGGCCCGGUACUGACGCUGAGGCGCGAAAGCGUGGGGAGCAAACAGGAUUAGAUACCCCGGUAGUCCCUGUCUCUUUACC
RNAcentral lists this ribosomal RNA (301 nucleotides) under uncultured bacterium. RNAcentral's name for it is "partial 16S ribosomal RNA". It matches the Rfam family "Bacterial small subunit ribosomal RNA", at positions 509 to 808 of the family's 1533-position model. The record is from RNAcentral.